CCCGAUAAUUUCUCUCUUUCAUUUAAAUAAAAUCCAAACACAUCUGGAUCACCACUCUCCCCAUUUCGACAUCCAAACCCUGGCGGCAGCCCGAAGGUUCUCACUCUCCCACCACCCAGACACCCAAACACUAGUGGUGGCCCGAUGGAUCCCCACUCUUUCCCCCACCCCCAACACCCAAAUCCUAGCGACAGCUUGAGGGGGUCUUGGCGGUGGAUAUAGAGGUUGUUGACA
This 234-nucleotide long non-coding RNA is filed under the name Elaeis guineensis (African oil palm). Its description in RNAcentral is "long non-coding RNA (EGUI_LNC026896)". The record is from RNAcentral. Lineage: Eukaryota; Viridiplantae; Streptophyta; Magnoliopsida; Arecales; Arecaceae.